GGUCUCGUUGGUGACCAGCGGAGGGAUCAUUA
RNAcentral lists this ribosomal RNA (32 nucleotides) under Fusarium sp. RNAcentral's name for it is "partial 18S ribosomal RNA". Lineage: Eukaryota; Fungi; Ascomycota; Sordariomycetes; Hypocreales; Nectriaceae. The record is from RNAcentral.